UACCUUUGCAAACGUAAAUAUGGAAAUACCAUAUUAUAUACAUAAAAAUCAUUAAAUAAUAUUAGCAUG
Molecule: non-coding RNA, 69 nt
Filed under: Myroides marinus
Lineage: Bacteria; Pseudomonadati; Bacteroidota; Flavobacteriia; Flavobacteriales; Flavobacteriaceae
Description: S15-Flavobacteria ribosomal protein leader
Rfam family: S15-Flavobacteria ribosomal protein leader
Source: RNAcentral